Small nuclear RNA from Hyaena hyaena (striped hyena), 103 nucleotides. NCBI's taxonomy places the organism in Eukaryota, Metazoa, Chordata, Mammalia, Carnivora, Hyaenidae. The record is from RefSeq and is a predicted model, not a curated record.
GUGCUUGUUUUGGCAGCACAUAUACUAAAAUUGAAACACAGAGAAGAUUAGCAUGGCCUCUGUGCAAGGAUGACACCAAAUAUGUGAAGAGCUUCACAGUUUU